RNAcentral lists this ribosomal RNA (150 nucleotides) under uncultured Arthrospira sp. RNAcentral's name for it is "partial 16S ribosomal RNA". It matches the Rfam family "Bacterial small subunit ribosomal RNA", at positions 350 to 514 of the family's 1533-position model. Lineage: Bacteria; Bacillati; Cyanobacteriota; Cyanophyceae; Oscillatoriales; Microcoleaceae. The record is from RNAcentral.
AGCAGUGGGGAAUUUUCCGCAAUGGGCGCAAGCCUGACGGAGCAAGACCGCGUGGGGGAGGAAGGCUCUUGGGUUGUAAACCCCUUUUCUCAAGGAAGAACACAAUGACGGUACUUGAGGAAUAAGCCUCGGCUAACUCCGUGCCAGCAG